UGGGGAAUUUUGGACAAUGGGCGAAAGCCUGAUCCAGCAAUGCCGCGUGUGUGAAGAAGGCCUUCGGGUUGUAAAGCACUUUUGUCCGGAAAGAAAUCCUUGGCUCUAAUACAGUCGGGGGAUGACGGUACCGGAAGAAUAAGCACCGGCUAACUACGUGCCAGCAGCCGCGGUAAUACGUAGGGUGCAAGCGUUAAUCGGAAUUACUGGGCGUAAAGCGUGCGCAGGUGGUUUGCUAAGACCGAUGUGAAAUCCCCGGGCUCAACCUGGGAACUGCAUUGGUGACUGGCAGGCUAGAGUAUGGCAGAGGGGGGUAGAAUUCCACGUGUAGCAGUGAAAUGCGUAGAGAUGUGGAGGAAUACCGAUGGCGAAGGCAGCCCCCUGGGCCAAUACUGACGCUCAUGCACGAAAGCGUGGGGAGCAAAACAGGAUUAGAUACCCUGGUAGUCCACGCCCUAAACGAUGUCAACUAGUUGUUGGGGAUUCAUUUCCUUAGUAACGUAGCUAACGCGUGAAGUUGACCGCCUGGGGAGUACGGUCGCAAGAUUAAAACUUAAAUGAAUUGACGGGGUCAUAGCUGUUUCCU
RNAcentral lists this ribosomal RNA (586 nucleotides) under uncultured bacterium. RNAcentral describes it as "partial 16S ribosomal RNA". It matches the Rfam family "Bacterial small subunit ribosomal RNA", at positions 355 to 1375 of the family's 1533-position model. The record is from RNAcentral.